CGGACAGUGUCUGGUGGGUAGUUUGACUGGGGCGGUCUCCUCCUAAAGAGUAACGGAGGAGCACGAAGGUUGGCUAAUCCUGGUCGGACAUCAGGAGGUUAGUGCAAUGGCAUAAGCCAGCUUGACUGCGAGCGUGACGGCGCGAGCAGGUGCGAAAGCAGGUCAUAGUGAUCCGGUGGUUCUGAAUGGAAGGGCCAUCGCUCAACGGAUAAAAGGUACUCCGGGGAUAACAGGCUGAUACCGCCCAAGAGUUCAUAUCGACGGCGGUGUUUGGCACCUCGAUGUCGGCUCAUCACAUCCUGGGGCUGAAGUAGGUCCCAAGGGUAUGGCUGUUCGCCAUUUAAAGUGGUACGCGAGCUGGGUUUAGAACGUCGUGAGACAGUUCGGUCCCUAUCUGCCGUGGGCGCUGGAGAACUGAGGGGAGCUGCUCCUAGUACGAGAGGACCGGAGUGGACGCAUCACUGGUGUUCGGGUUGUCAUGCCAAUGGCACUGCCCGGUAGCUAAAUGCGGAAGAGAUAAGUGCUGAAAGCAUCUAAGCACGAAACUUGCCCCGAGAUGAGUUCUCCCUGAGACUUAGAGUCUCCUGAAGGAACGUUGAAGACGACGACGUUGAUAGGCCGGGUGUGUAAGCGCAGCGAUGCGUUGAGCUAACCGGUACUAAUGAACCGUGAGGCUUAACCUUACAACGCCGAAG
Molecule: ribosomal RNA, 695 nt
Filed under: Salmonella enterica subsp. enterica serovar 4,[5],12:i:-
Lineage: Bacteria; Pseudomonadati; Pseudomonadota; Gammaproteobacteria; Enterobacterales; Enterobacteriaceae
Description: partial 23S ribosomal RNA
Rfam family: Bacterial large subunit ribosomal RNA
Source: RNAcentral